This 198-nucleotide non-coding RNA is filed under the name Lysinibacillus sphaericus. Its description in RNAcentral is "FMN sequence". It matches the Rfam family "FMN riboswitch aptamer (RFN element)". Rfam says of the family: The RFN element is a highly conserved domain that is found frequently in the 5'-untranslated regions of prokaryotic mRNAs that encode for flavin mononucleotide (FMN) biosynthesis and transport proteins. This element is a metabolite-dependent riboswitch that directly binds FMN in the absence of proteins. Lineage: Bacteria; Bacillati; Bacillota; Bacilli; Caryophanales; Bacillaceae. The record is from RNAcentral.
AUUCAUCUUCGGGGCAGGGUGAAAAUCCCGACCGGCGGUAAUAGAAUGGUAAAUCGCUAUUGUAGCAUAAAACUACAGUAGCUCGAAUGAUUUACUCCAACAUUCUUCAGCCCGCGACCUGUGCAAAUCUUUUUUUGCAUGGCUGACUUGGUGUGAAUCCAAGGCCGACAGUUAUAGUCUGGAUGGGAGAAGAUGGAG